UAGGGAAUCUUCGGCAAUGGACGAAAGUCUGACCGAGCAACGCCGCGUGAGUGAAGAAGGUUUUCGGAUCGNAAAACUCUGUUGUUAGAGAAGAACAAGGAUGAGAGUAAAAUGUUCAUCCCUUGACGGUAUCUAACCAGAAAGCCACGGCUAACUACGUGCCAGCAGCCGCGGUAAUCGUAGGUGGCAAGCGUUGUCCGGAUUUAUUGGGCGUAAAGCGAGCGCAAGGCCGGUUUCUUAAGUCUGAUGUGAAAGCCCCCGGCUCAACCGGGAGGUCAUGGAAACUGGGAGACUUGAGUGCAGAAGAGGAGAGUGGAAUUCCAUGUGUAGCGGUGAAAUGCGUAGAUAUAUGGAGGAACACCAGUGGCGAAGGCGGCUCUCUGGUCUGUAACUGACGCUGAGGCU
Molecule: ribosomal RNA, 405 nt
Filed under: uncultured bacterium
Lineage: Bacteria
Description: partial 16S ribosomal RNA
Rfam family: Bacterial small subunit ribosomal RNA
Source: RNAcentral